GAUGAACGCUGGCGGCGUGCCUAAUACAUGCAAGUCGAGCGAACAGACGAGGAGCUUGCUCCUCUGACGUUAGCGGCGGACGGGUGAGUAACACGUGGAUAACCUACCUAUAAGACUGGGAUAACUUCGGGAAACCGGAGCUAAUACCGGAUAAUAUAUUCAACCGCAUGGUUCAAUAGUGAAAGACGGUUUUGCUGUCACUUAUAGAUGGAUCCGCGCCGCAUUAGCUAGUUGGUAAGGUAACGGCUUACCAAGGCGACGAUGCGUAGCCGACCUGAGAGGGUGCUCGGCCACACUGGAACUGAGACACGGUCCAGACUACUACGGGAGGCAGCAGUAGGGAAUCUUCCGCAAUGGGCGAAAGCCUGACGGAGCAACGCCGCGUGAGUGAUGAAGGUCUUCGGAUCGUAAAACUCUGUUAUUAGGGAAGAACAAAUGUGUAAGUAACUAUGCACGUCUUGACGGUACCUAAGCAGAAAGCCACGGCUAACUACGUG
RNAcentral lists this ribosomal RNA (497 nucleotides) under uncultured bacterium. Its description in RNAcentral is "partial 16S ribosomal RNA". It matches the Rfam family "Bacterial small subunit ribosomal RNA", at positions 28 to 507 of the family's 1533-position model. The record is from RNAcentral.